UCAUAUCGAAAUUCAUGGAUCUUUUUAAUAAUUUUAGUAUUACAGAUUAAUUAUUCGACCCAAAAAAAAGUAUUACAGAUUAUCCUGCACGUGUGGCUCUGCCGAAAGGGGUACAGGUAAAGCUGGCUUUAGUUGGCACCCAACCAAAUCAUAUUAUCGUCUUUCUUUUUUCCAUCAUUAUUUACAUAAAAUAAAAACUUUAUUCUCUUAGCGAUCAUACUUUCACCAUAUUUUAUUUCUUAGGUUCUGUUAUUUCUCUAGAACAUGCGUGAUGCACCGAUGAACACUCAUAUAAUACACUAUUCUAUUAUAAGGGAUAGUACGCAUUAUCUGCCUACAAAAAUUUCAUUUAAAUAACAAUAUUACUUCAACACAUUCCUAUAUCACUGAUGAUACUAUUGAUUACAACGUUAAUUAUCUAAUUCAAUUCCAUACUUAUUUUCUUGGUACUUUUACAUCAAUGACGGAGAUUAUUUCCAGAGAAAUUUACAUAUAUAUGCGUAUGAAUAUUGCAAUGAAACUGAGAAAUUAUCUGAAAAUUAUAUAUAUAAGAAAAAAGAAAAGAAUAUUGAGGAAAAUUACAGAUUUAUCGCCGGCAGCGAGUGAUGACACUGCAGCCGCGAGAGUACGGGUUGGCUUGUGCGCCACGUCGGCAAUUGUAGUAAGAUGCGCCGCGUCGUGAGCAAGGUACACUGUUUCUCCUCAGCGCACCGUAGCUGAUGUACCUC
This 728-nucleotide long non-coding RNA is filed under the name Brassica rapa (field mustard). RNAcentral's name for it is "long non-coding RNA (BRAP_LNC003845)". Lineage: Eukaryota; Viridiplantae; Streptophyta; Magnoliopsida; Brassicales; Brassicaceae. The record is from RNAcentral.